UCCACAGGCAGAGAUUGGAGGUGGUGCUA
This 29-nucleotide non-coding RNA is filed under the name Homo sapiens (human). The record is from RNAcentral. RNAcentral also lists the same sequence under 1 other name. Lineage: Eukaryota; Metazoa; Chordata; Mammalia; Primates; Hominidae.